UGACCUCUUGAGGAGUGGGGAA
This 22-nucleotide unclassified non-coding RNA is filed under the name Dictyostelium discoideum. The record is from RNAcentral. Lineage: Eukaryota; Evosea; Eumycetozoa; Dictyosteliales; Dictyosteliaceae.